RNAcentral lists this ribosomal RNA (870 nucleotides) under uncultured bacterium. RNAcentral's name for it is "bacterial SSU rRNA". It matches the Rfam family "Bacterial small subunit ribosomal RNA", at positions 28 to 894 of the family's 1533-position model. The record is from RNAcentral.
AUUGAACGCUGGCGGCAUGCCUUACACAUGCAAGUCGAACGGCAGCACGGGAGCAAUCCUGGUGGCGAGUGGCGAACGGGUGAGUAAUACAUCGGAACGUGCCCAAUCGUGGGGGAUAACGCAGCGAAAGCUGUGCUAAUACCGCAUGAGAUCUACGGAUGAAAGCAGGGGACCGCAAGGCCUUGCGCGAAUGGAGCGGCCGAUGGCAGAUUAGCUAGUUGGUGAGGUAAAGGCUCACCAAGCCUGCGAUCUGUAGCUGGUCUGAGAGGACGACCAGCCACACUGGGACUGAGACACGGCCCAGACUCCUACGGGAGGCAGCAGUGGGGAAUUUUGGACAAUGGGCGCAAGCCUGAUCCAGCCAUGCCGCGUGCAGGAUGAAGGCCUUCGGGUUGUAAACUGCUUUUGUACGGAACGAAAAGGCUUUCUCUAAUAAAGGGGGCUCAUGACGGUACCGUAAGAAUAAGCACCGGCUAACUACGUGCCAGCAGCCGCGGUAAUACGUAGGGUGCAAGCGUUAAUCGGAAUUACUGGGCGUAAAGCGUGUGCAGGCGGUGAUGUAAGACAGUUGUGAAAUCCCCGGGCUCAACCUGGGAACUGCAUCUGUGACUGCAUCGCUGGAGUGCGGCAGAGGGGGAUGGAAUUCCGCGUGUAGCAGUGAAAUGCGUAGAUAUGCGGAGGAACACCGAUGGCGAAGGCAAUCCCCUGGGCCUGCACUGACGCUCAUGCACGAAAGCGUGGGGAGCAAACAGGAUUAGAUACCCUGGUAGUCCACGCCCUAAACGAUGUCAACUGGUUGUUGGGUCUUCACUGACUCAGUAACGAAGCUAACGCGUGAAGUUGACCGCCUGGGGAGUACGGCCGCAAGGU